Molecule: ribosomal RNA, 508 nt
Filed under: uncultured bacterium
Lineage: Bacteria
Description: bacterial SSU rRNA
Rfam family: Bacterial small subunit ribosomal RNA
Source: RNAcentral
AGUUUGAUCAUGGCUCAGAGUGAACGCUGGCGGCAGGCCUAAUACAUGCAAGUCGAACGGCAGCACAGCAGAGCUUGCUCUGUGGGUGGCGAGUGGCGGACGGGUGAGGAAUACAUGGGAAUCUGCCCAGUCGUGGGGGAUAACGUAGGGAAACUUACGCUAAUACCGCAUGCGCCCUUCGGGGGAAAGCCGGGGACCUUCGGGCCUGGCGCGAUUGGAUGAGCCCAUGUCGGAUUAGCUAGUUGGCGGGGUAAUGGCCCACCAAGGCGACGAUCCGUAGCUGGUCUGAGAGGAUGAUCAGCCACACUGGAACUGAGACACGGUCCAGACUCCUACGGGAGGCAGCAGUAGGGAAUAUUGGACAAUGGGCGCAAGCCUGAUCCAGCCAUGCCGCGUGAGUGAAGAAGGCCCUCGGGUUGUAAAGCUCUUUUGUCCGGAAAGAAAAGCGCCGGGUUAAUACCCUGGUGUCCUGACGGUACCGGAAGAAUAAGCACCGGCUAACUUCGUG